Long non-coding RNA from Saccostrea cuccullata (small rock oyster), 875 nucleotides. RefSeq lists it as uncharacterized. NCBI's taxonomy places the organism in Eukaryota, Metazoa, Mollusca, Bivalvia, Ostreida, Ostreidae. The record is from RefSeq and is a predicted model, not a curated record. The transcript has 4 exons.
ACUAUAGUGAAUAUUUGCUGGAGUGUAUUUACAGAUUUUGUAAGAAAUAUAAUAAAGUGAAUAUUUCUUUUUAUGUCACUCAUUCUUUACUUACAAAUGGAUUAAAAUAAGGUACACUUUUAUGAGAUUAUUACUGAAGCUACAUGUUUGUGUUUCAUAGAAAAGUUUCACUGAAAGUGAAAAAGAACGCCUUUUUGGAAAAGGUGUCACUGUGGAGGAUGUUCUUAAUCGCUUGGAUAAAGAUGGAAAUGGCAAGUUGAAUUUUCGUGAAGUCGUCAUGUUCAUUGAGGAAAAUGGAUUUUCAAUAGUAAAUUGCAGCCACGGGUUUAAAAGAGAGGAAGUGACGACAUUGCUGAAUCUUGUUCAGGCAAUUUAUACAGGACUAUCUUGUAACGUCACGCAAGUGGGAAUCAGUUCAGCAGAUGUGUCUAGAACAGUUGGCAUCAAUACUCAUUAUGUAGGGACAACGGUCUUUGACUACGAAAAGGAAGAUGUGGACUUUCUUAACAAGGAAUCCUAUAGAUCUACCAUGACAUUCUUGAAACAUUUUGCUGAAACAAAGAUGAAGUCUCGGAUGGAAAAAGAAAAACAGUAGAAUGCAUUUACCUGUGUAAUUACAUUGUCUUAAAUAAAAUAUUUUGGAAGCAGACUUAAUUCUUUUUAAAUUACUUUCUUUUAACAUGUUCAACAACAUUUAUAAAAUUGUAAUUGAUUUAAGAAGUUUGACAUUAUUUCUGCUCUGUCUGUCCUCCAUAAUUAAAAUAUGACCAUCCCAUUCUUUUCUUUUCUCGUUGUAUGUUUAUUGUUUUACCUUGUACAUAUGUAUAAGACUUUCAUUUAUGCUCUUGUAAAUGUAUCAUAUAUUCAUUUUUUUU